UACGUAGGGUGCAAGCGUUAAUCGGAAUUACUGGGCGUAAAGCGUGCGCAGGCGGCGCGUUAAGACAGGUGUGAAAGCCCCGAGCUUAACUUGGGAAUUGCGCUUGUGACUGGCGUGCUGGAGUGUGGCAGAGGGAGGUGGAACUCCACGUGUAGCAGUGAAAUGCGUAGAGAUGUGGAGGAACACCGAUGGCGAAGGCAGCCUCCUGGGCCAGCACUGACGCUCAUGCACGAAAGCGUGGGGAGCAAACAGG
Molecule: ribosomal RNA, 253 nt
Filed under: uncultured bacterium
Lineage: Bacteria
Description: partial 16S ribosomal RNA
Rfam family: Bacterial small subunit ribosomal RNA
Source: RNAcentral